GCGGAAUAUUGGACAAUGGGUUAGCGCCUGAUCCAGCCAUCCCGCGUGAAGGACGACGGCCCUAUGGGUUGUAAACUUCUUUUGUACAGGGAUAAACCUACUCUCGUGAGGGUAGCUGAAGGUACUGUACGAAUAAGCACCGGCUAACUCCGUGCCAGCAGCCGCGGUAAUACGGAGGGUGCGAGCGUUAUCCGGAUUUAUUGGGUUUAAAGGGCCCGUAGGCGGACUCGUAAGUCAGUGGUGAAAUCUCACAGCUUAACUGUGAAACUGCCGUUGAUACUGCGGGUCUUGAGUAAGGUAGAAGUGGCUGGAAUAAGUAGUGUAGCGGUGAAAUGCAUAGAUAUUACUUAGAACACCAAUUGCGAAGGCAGGUCACUAUGUCUUAACUGACGCUGAGGGACGAAAGCGUGGGGAGCGAAC
This 420-nucleotide ribosomal RNA is filed under the name uncultured bacterium. Its description in RNAcentral is "bacterial SSU rRNA". It matches the Rfam family "Bacterial small subunit ribosomal RNA", at positions 356 to 773 of the family's 1533-position model. The record is from RNAcentral.